Molecule: ribosomal RNA, 480 nt
Filed under: uncultured bacterium
Lineage: Bacteria
Description: bacterial SSU rRNA
Rfam family: Bacterial small subunit ribosomal RNA
Source: RNAcentral
UCAGGACGAACGCUGGCGGCGUGCCUAACACAUGCAAGUCGAACGGAGUCAAAAAGCUUACUUUUGACUUAGUGGCGGACGGGUGAGUAACGCGUGAGUAACCUGCCUCUGAGAGGGGAAUAACGUUCUGAAAAGAACGCUAAUACCGCAUAAUGUAUCGAAGCCGCAUGACUUUGAUACCAAAGAUUUUAUCGCUCGGAGAUGGACUCGCGUCCGAUUAGUUAGUUGGUGAGGUAACGGCUCACCAAGACCGCGAUCGGUAGCCGGACUGAGAGGUUGAUCGGCCACAUUGGGACUGAGACACGGCCCAGACUCCUACGGGAGGCAGCAGUGGGGGAUAUUGCGCAAUGGGGGCAACCCUGAACCGCAGCAACGCCGCGUGAAGGAUGAAGGUUUUCGGAUUGUAAACUUCUUUUAUCAGGGACGAAGCUUGACGGUACCUGAUGAAUAAGCUCCGGCUAACUACGUGCCAGCCGCGGC